RNAcentral lists this ribosomal RNA (346 nucleotides) under uncultured bacterium. RNAcentral describes it as "bacterial SSU rRNA". It matches the Rfam family "Bacterial small subunit ribosomal RNA", at positions 129 to 507 of the family's 1533-position model. The record is from RNAcentral.
UCCUGGGGUGGGGGACAACAGCGGGAAACUGCUGCUAAUACCGCAUGAUACCUGAGGGUCAAAGGCGCAAGUCGCCUUAGGAGGAGCCUGCGUCUGAUUAGCUUGUUGGUGGGGUAAAGGCCUACCAAGGCGACGAUCAGUAGCUGGUCUGAGAGGAUGAUCAGCCACAUUGGGACUGAGACACGGCCCAAACUCCUACGGGAGGCAGCAGUGGGGAAUAUUGGACAAUGGGCGCAAGCCUGAUCCAGCAAUGCCGCGUGGGUGAAGAAGGUCUUCGGAUUGUAAAGCCCUUUUGGCGGGGACGAUGAUGACGGUACCCGCAGAAUAAGCUCCGGCUAACUUCGUG